This 275-nucleotide long non-coding RNA is filed under the name Carica papaya (papaya). RNAcentral's name for it is "long non-coding RNA (CPAP_LNC013920)". Lineage: Eukaryota; Viridiplantae; Streptophyta; Magnoliopsida; Brassicales; Caricaceae. The record is from RNAcentral.
UGGGUAGAAAACACAAAAAGACCAAUGGAGCAUAAUUUACAAUAAACUCGUUAUUAACAUGAAAACCUUUACCAUCCACUUACCUUGGUGAAAUUUAUGAAAACAAUAUGAGAAAAACAAUAACAUCAUCAUAAUCAUUGAAUAAUCUAAGCUGUAAAACAUAACACUUAUCACACCUCUUGUAAUUCAAUCAUUGUACAACAUAUCCUUUUUUCUCAUUUACCAGCAUACUAGUAUCCGUGGGGGUCCAUAGGGGUUCCGCUACCCGUUAACCU